Molecule: ribosomal RNA, 369 nt
Filed under: Triticum aestivum (bread wheat)
Lineage: Eukaryota; Viridiplantae; Streptophyta; Magnoliopsida; Poales; Poaceae
Description: partial small subunit ribosomal RNA
Source: RNAcentral
AUGGAUCAACCCACACAUGUGCACAUCAAGCACGCGGCUCCGGUUGAUGCUAAUGGCUGUGGGGUUCGUCAACGACUGCGCUGCCGGAGAGAUAGUGGACGGUGGCGAGCAGACCUAGAAGUAUGUCUUGAGAUGCAGAGCUUCUACACCCACCCAAACUGCACCCCGCAGGCCACGGAUGCAACACGGAGAGACGCCUUGCGAGGGGUUGGCGGGGAAUUCGAGGACGUGCUCGUUAGCCGUGACCGCGAGCCAGGGGUGGUCCGUCGUAGAUCUGGGAGCGCCGCCGCCUCACCUGCUCGAUCUGGAAUCCGCAGAGGGGGUGGAGAGAAGGUGAGGGGAGGGGGAGAUGUUGUGGGCGGCGGCUGA